This 255-nucleotide long non-coding RNA is filed under the name Mytilus galloprovincialis (Mediterranean mussel). Lineage: Eukaryota; Metazoa; Mollusca; Bivalvia; Mytilida; Mytilidae. The record is from RNAcentral.
CCAGAAAUUACCAACUGAUGCAUUAAAAUUUACUCAGUAUUAUAGCAAACACGACGAAAAGUUUCAGAUAUACUGUCAAAAGCAUUAAUGUAUGAAUGUCCCUGCUGCAGCAAGUGUAUCGUAGAAAGCCACAAAAUAUGCCAGGAUAUCGUCAACUUAGAUGACGUCAUUCAAAAUGCAAAAACAUCCAAUGCCCUGUUCGAGAUAGAGGAAACAUUACUUGAAGUAGCAGAAAAUCUACAGAAAUUUCGCCAG